Molecule: non-coding RNA, 21 nt
Filed under: Arabidopsis thaliana (thale cress)
Lineage: Eukaryota; Viridiplantae; Streptophyta; Magnoliopsida; Brassicales; Brassicaceae
Source: RNAcentral
UACUGUGCCAAACCCAAUACC